RNA transcript from Elaeis guineensis (African oil palm), 2280 nucleotides. RefSeq lists it as uncharacterized. The record is from RefSeq and is a predicted model, not a curated record. Lineage: Eukaryota; Viridiplantae; Streptophyta; Magnoliopsida; Arecales; Arecaceae.
GGACAGGGCAAUGUUUGAGAAUCGAGACACGGGAGGGAUGUGAUCCGAAUCCUACGACUCCAGCGAUAUCCAUCAACCAUCGAGGGUUCGUUAAUCCCCUCUCUCAAACCCCUCACGCUCCGCUCCAGCCUCCAGGGGUUUUCUCUCCCUUCUUUCGACCCCCGCGCCCCCAAGAAAAGGAAGGCAACAUUUCCCUCCGAAGCUCCCACUCAAAAACCCCAACCUUUACCAUCGGAUGGCGGAAGAAGGCGGAGGCCAUCAGGUGGAGGAGGCCCUGCGUCCUCCGAAUCCGAGGACGACGUGGGAGGGCUGCAGCGUCCUCCUCGACAUCAACGACGGCGACCGUCUCGUCUUCGCCCGGCUCUCCCCCGCAGCGAGUUUGAAGAUUGGGAACAAGAAGUGCUUCUUGAGCCCCUUGAUCGGCUGCCCCUAUGGCUCGUUGUUCCGAGUCGACACCGGCCCCGACGGUCCCCAUCUGACACGCAUCUCUUCUUCCUCUGCUCCGUCCCACGAUAAUUGCAUGCAAGAAAGUGAUGAUGGGCAAUCAAUAGAUGAACUUAAAGAUAAUAGAUCAUUGAUUGACAAUAACACAGCACAAAGUCUGUCUAGCAAUGAUAUAGAUGCAAUGAAGAGGGAAGGUGCAACUGGUGAUGAAAUUGUGGAAGCUCUUAUAGCUAACAGUUCAACGUUUGGAAAGAAAACAGCUUUUUCACAGGAGAAAUACAAGCUUAAGAAACAGAAGAAACAUGCUCCUAAGGUACUUCUAAGGCGCCCUUCUACUCGAAGUAUAUGUGAGACAUAUUUCAAGAAGCAUCCAGCUCGGAUAGGGUUUUUGCGGAUGGACACACUAUCUCUCCUACUUUCCAUGGCUAAUGUUGGUGCAUACUCAGAUGUCCUUGUGGUGGAUAUGGUUGGAGGUCUACUUACUGGAGCUAUUGCAGAACGGUUGGGAGGUAUAGGCUACACAUGCAGUACUUAUUUUCGAUCAAUGCCCUACCCAUCAGAUAUAGUGAGAAUGUUCAAUUUCAGUAGUGAAAUAUGCAGCAGGAUUAUUCAAGCACCUUUUUCUGACCUCUGUUCUUCACAAAACCUUGACAAUGAAAACUCGAAAUCACAUGAGAAUACCCAAUCAUCAGAAAUGCAAUCACAAACCGAGGAUUCUUUGCUGACUGAAUCUGCUUCCAAAAGUUUGAUAGCUUUAUCUGAAGAUCCUGUUGUCCUGGAAGGAGAUUAUAUGCCAGAUUGCAGGCAUGAGAACAACACUUCUACAGGUUGCAAGUCGGCCAAUUCGGGGAGGAAGGUGCCACCAGAACUUGUAAAGUUAUGGAAUGAGAGAGGCUUUAGCAGCUUGAUAGUUGCUGCUCCAGAACUGGAGUUGGGGAGCUUAAUUCAAGAUCUGCUACCACUUUUGUCGUAUUCUGCACCAUUUGCAAUUUAUCACCAAUUCCUUCAGCCUCUUGCAACAUGCAUGCACAGACUACAAACUUCGAGAAUGGCGAUUAAUUUGCAAAUUUCGGAGCCUUGGCUUCGUGAAUAUCAGGUUCUUCCUUCACGCACUCAUCCAAUGAUGCAGAUGAGCGCAUGUGGUGGUUACAUUUUAAGUGGAAUUAGAAUUUGCAGCAGCGAAGCUUGCAAUGGAAAUAAUUGACAGGUGUGAUCCCAAGGCCUUGUGUUUUUUACUUGGCAAUCAGCAAAAUGCAGGCAGGCUAAAGCAACAAACACACCAUCUUGGAAGACUUCCAUAACAACUCAGACCGGAUGAGGCAAUGUGUUGCUUCCUGGACGAGGCUUUUGGAGUUGCUCUAUGGACAGUAAUGAAGACAAAUCUCUUCUUCGAGGUUGACGAUUGUGUGGAACAAGAAGUGACCCCAGGGAGAUGCAAGUAAAGCAGGCCUUCUGGAUGAAGUUUCGACCAAAUGGGAGAAGAAACAGUUAAUUUUAUAGCCAGUUUGGAUCAGAGUCGGGGGAUUUUGGGCAGCGAAAAUGGUACACAGGACUGCUUUCAUCAAUAUUUCAAAGAUCUUUUUGGUGGCCAAAGUCUGCAGUUUCAGUUUCCUCCAGCCAAACCUGUCUGAGUUUUGGCACCACAGGUUCCUUCGGAGCGAGUACCUGAUCCAGUUCCUGCUUCAAGUCACCAUCCUCCAAAGGCAGAGACUCCUCUUUAGAUUCACCCUCUGAAUCUUUCAGGCAAAUUGAUUUUUUUAUUUUCAUAGCACAGACAAUAUGUUCUGCAGACGAUGGCUUCAACUUUCACAUAAAUCUUAAGCUUGUUAACCGUAA